This 497-nucleotide ribosomal RNA is filed under the name uncultured bacterium. Its description in RNAcentral is "partial 16S ribosomal RNA". It matches the Rfam family "Bacterial small subunit ribosomal RNA", at positions 28 to 507 of the family's 1533-position model. The record is from RNAcentral.
GAUGAACGCUGGCGGCGUGCCUAAUACAUGCAAGUCGAGCGAACAGACGAGGAGCUUGCUCCUCUGACGUUAGCGGCGGACGGGUGAGUAACACGUGGAUAACCUACCUAUAAGACUGGGAUAACUUCGGGAAACCGGAGCUAAUACCGGAUAAUAUAUUGAACCGCAUGGUUCAAUAGUGAAAGACGGUUUUGCUGUCACUUAUAGAUGGAUCCGCGCCGCAUUAGCUAGUUGGUAAGGUAACGGCUUACCAAGGCAACGAUGCGUAGCCGACCUGAGAGAGUGAUCGGCCACACUGGAACUGGGACACGGUCCAGACUCCUACGGGAGGCAGCAGUAGGGAAUCUUCCGCAAUGGGCGAAAGCCUGACGGAGCAACGCCGCGUGAGUGAUGAAGGUCUUCGGAUCGUAAAACUCUGUUAUUAGGGAAGAACAAAUGUGUAAGUAACUAUGCACGUCUUGACGGUACCUAAUCAGAAAGCCACGGCUAACUACGUG